AAGAAAAAAAAGUUUAAUUUUUAGAUGAGAUAUUCCAGGUGCUUUUUUAAGAAUUUGGUUAUUCUAUACAGAACAUACAAUUAUUUCAACAUACAAGGUACUCUAUCUUGAAUACUCUAUUUUGAAAUUUCAGAAACCAUUUUAAAAGCUUUGUCUUGUUUCCAAAAAAAUGAGGCAAAAUGCUUAUUAUAAAACACUAGUUUUCAGCACUGCGUACAUUGUAAGUAGUUCAUUAAUGUUCAUCUUUAACUUAAAUGUUAAACCUGAGGAAUUAGAGUUUUUAUUAUCAGAACUGCAUAGCAAAAUCAUGUCCAGAUGAUAGAAAAACCAAAUAAUCUGUGGAUCAAGAUAAUUUGUAAGCCACUUAAUUCAGUUUAAAGCAAAACAAGUUAUGUUAGGAGAGAUAAUAAAUGAUAUCCAGGUUAACAGAGUUUUGAAAUGUGUCAUUGUGUUUUUAAAAACAGUAACGCAACAAAAGUUAUCAAAUGUUUUAAAUGGUCA
This 501-nucleotide long non-coding RNA is filed under the name Bos taurus (domestic cattle). RNAcentral describes it as "long non-coding RNA NONBTAT024873". The record is from RNAcentral. Lineage: Eukaryota; Metazoa; Chordata; Mammalia; Artiodactyla; Bovidae.